AAAGAGAGACCUAAUUCAGGUAGGAGACGAAAAAAAAGUAGUCCCUACCAAGAAUCAAUCCCAAAAGGUCGGAACGAGGUAUGAGGCUUUCAAACUAGGUUCUGGGUUCAUAAAAGACCUGAAUCAGGAACAAGGGCUAUUAGCUCAGGUGGUUAGAGCGCACCCCUGAUAAGGGUGAGGUCCCUGGUUCGAGUCCAGGAUGGCCCACCUGCACAGGUGGCAAAAACAAGAGAAGCGAGGAAUCAGCACCUUAUCUUAUAUACAUAUAUAAGAGAGAAUGCUGGCUCUGAGUACAGAGUCCAGAGGAACCUUGAAAACUGCAUAGAGCUAGGUGAAAAAGCCAAAAAAGAAGACCGCAAG
RNAcentral lists this transfer RNA (360 nucleotides) under uncultured Microcystis sp. Its description in RNAcentral is "partial 16S-23S ribosomal RNA intergenic spacer". The stretch from base 134 to 207 matches the Rfam family "tRNA". The record is from RNAcentral. Lineage: Bacteria; Bacillati; Cyanobacteriota; Cyanophyceae; Chroococcales; Microcystaceae.